GUGGGGUGGAGAGUAGUCAGGCAAGGUGAGAGAGGACAGUGUGUGAAGGGAUAACAAGAUCCUCUCACCACAUGGUCUGUUAAGGGAGAAAGAAAUAACAAAGCUUUUAUUUCCUUUAUGGAAAGCAAAGAAGCAGAAAAACUAUGUUUACAGAAGACAGAUCUUGGGGAGAUGUGGAGAGAAGAGGUCCUGUGCACCACUAUGCCCACUGCUGAUGGUGACACGGAGUAACAGAUGGCACUGCCAGGGCUACAGGUGCCUCGGAAUGGAGCCUUUUGAAGACUAAGCCAAGGCAGUGGCCUGAAAACUACUCAGUGAUACAGAAACCGAAGUUAUUGGAAAUUGGGGGGAGGGAAUUUAAAAAAACAGUGAUUAUCUUUUAAUAAAUGACUGUCUUCCAGAAGUAUUAAAGCUUUUGCUCACAGACGCAACCUGGCCUAUUUGUGGCUCAACACAAAAGCUCAGAGUUGGUGAGCCCCAAGAGGUCACCCCCCAGCGCAGCCCAGACCCAGAGAGACAACCCCAGCUCUAAAUGUUGA
Molecule: long non-coding RNA, 539 nt
Filed under: Heterocephalus glaber (naked mole-rat)
Lineage: Eukaryota; Metazoa; Chordata; Mammalia; Rodentia; Bathyergidae
Description: lncRNA (ENSHGLG00100032264.2)
Source: RNAcentral